UUAUAUCCUGAGAGCAUGAAAUGUAACUCUGUUCUCCCACUCAAAAAUCAUAGCAGCUCAAGAGCAUUCAAUAAGUGGAUUGUUCUGUGUCCAGGAAGCCCUUGAGGUGACUCUUGCAAGGAAAACCCUGAAAUGGAGGCAUGGGGGAAAUGGAAUCUUCCUGUUUCAUCACUGUUUUAAAGCCAGCAGAGCACCACUGGCAUCAGCUUUCUGCACCAGAUGGGGAAGUGGGUAUCUUCUCUUACAAGGAAACCCUUGACCUGCAGGUUGCUGGAAGCUGAUGAAAGUACCUUGGGGAAGCAACACUAUGUGCCUGCUCUGCUCUUAGUUGAAUAUUUGUGCAUCUGCUAGAAGCCUUCUCAGGAAGCAGCUCUCAAUGGACACGUACUCUGACCAGUGUGUAGCAGUCUUAUCAAGGGACAUGUUCCUAGGGGGACAUUGGGAAGAGCUUCGGAAAAGGAAAAGAAGAAUUACAGGCCAUGGGGAGAUGGAAAAAAAGGUCUGAAAUAAGUGCACCCAUUAAAGACCAGGACUGUACUGCAAGUGUUCUCCACCUGAGGCAAACCUCCUGUGAAAGUGCCUUUGCAUACGACUUUUCUGAGUAAGAGAUGGAAAACAUUCAGGUGAGUCCUCAUCAGAACUGGAAGGGUUGUGUGUCUGAGGAAAGGCCCCCUUUGUUGCAAUACUUCUUCCCCUCU
Molecule: long non-coding RNA, 698 nt
Organism: Tyto alba (common barn owl)
Lineage: Eukaryota; Metazoa; Chordata; Aves; Strigiformes; Tytonidae
Exons: 4
Source: RefSeq, a predicted model, not a curated record